Molecule: ribosomal RNA, 497 nt
Filed under: uncultured bacterium
Lineage: Bacteria
Description: partial 16S ribosomal RNA
Rfam family: Bacterial small subunit ribosomal RNA
Source: RNAcentral
GAUGAACGCUGGCGGCGUGCCUAAUACAUGCAAGUCGAGCGAGCAGAUGAGGAGCUUGCUCCUCUGACGUUAGCGGCGGACGGGUGAGUAACACGUGGAUAACCUACCUAUAAGACUGGGAUAACUUCGGGAAACCGGAGCUAAUACCGGAUAAUAUAUUGAACCGCAUGGUUCAAUAGUGAAGGACGGUUUUGCUGUCACUUAUAGAUGGAUCCGCGCCGCAUUAGCUAGUUGGUAAGGUAACGGCUUACCAAGGCAACGAUGCGUAGCCGACCUGGGAGGGUGAUCGGCCACACUGGAACUGAGACACGGUCUAGACUCCUACGGGAGGCAGCAGUAGGGAAUCUUCCGCAAUGGGCGAAAGCCUGACGGAGCAACGCCGCGUGAGUGAUGAAGGUCUUCGGAUCGUAAAACUCUGUUAUUAGGGAAGAACAAAUGUGUAAGUAACUAUGCACGUCUUGACGGUACCUAAUCAGAAAGCCACGGCUAACUACGUG